This 497-nucleotide ribosomal RNA is filed under the name uncultured bacterium. Its description in RNAcentral is "partial 16S ribosomal RNA". It matches the Rfam family "Bacterial small subunit ribosomal RNA", at positions 28 to 507 of the family's 1533-position model. The record is from RNAcentral.
GAUGAACGCUGGCGGCGUGCCUAAUACAUGCAAGUCGAGCGGACGGACGAGAAGCUUGCUUUUCUGAUGUUAGCGGCGGACGGGUGAGUAACACGUGGAUAACCUACCUAUAAGACUGGGAUAACUUCGGGAGACCGGAGCUAAUACCGGAUAAUAUUUUGAACCGCAUGGUUCAAAAGUGAAAGACGGUCUUGCUGUCACUUAUAGAUGGAUCCGCGCUGCAUUAGCUAGUUGGUAAGGUAACGGCUUACCAAGGCAACGAUGCAUAGCCGACCUGAGAGGGUGAUCGGCCACACUGGAACUGAGACACGGUCCAGACUCCUACGGGAGGCAGCAGUAGGGAAUCUUACGCAAUGGGCGAAAGCCUGACGGAGCAACGCCGCGUGAGUGAUGAAGGUCUUCGGAUCGUAAAACUCUGUUAUUAGGGAAGAACAUAUGUGUAAGUAACUGUGCACAUCUUGACGGUACCUAAUCAGAAAGCCACGGCUAACUACGUG